GGGCUCCAUAUUUGGGCAACAAGUGUUAUCAGAGCCUGAUGCUCUAGUUCUUUCUUGAUUUAACCAUCAAGAGCUAAAGAUCCAUAGUAGCUCAAUUUGGCACAUCCCUAUCCGAAGGGCAUUCCACAAAUUGACCUCCAUUUUUCAAUGGAUCAAACUACACCUAUUGAAAAGCUUGGAUGAGAAUUUUUAUUCAAGCACUUGUCUAUGACAUAUAGAGUAUCAUAGUAAAU
Molecule: long non-coding RNA, 233 nt
Filed under: Elaeis guineensis (African oil palm)
Lineage: Eukaryota; Viridiplantae; Streptophyta; Magnoliopsida; Arecales; Arecaceae
Description: long non-coding RNA (EGUI_LNC001959)
Source: RNAcentral